GAUGUUAUAUUAAUAGCUAAAUUAUUGUUGUUCUAUUUAUCUUAUUUUUAUGCAUAUCGUCCAUGAAAUAGAGAUAUUUAUUUAUUUAAUUUUUGUUAAAGAUCGAACCUUUUCAAUAUAUGAUUACAGGAGGUAUAUAAGGCUGCUCUUGCAGAAAAGUAUAGCUCAGAGAUUGAAUCACAAUUUUCAUUUGAUGUUACUAUGUGGGUGGAAGCUACAGG
This 221-nucleotide long non-coding RNA is filed under the name Elaeis guineensis (African oil palm). RNAcentral's name for it is "long non-coding RNA (EGUI_LNC067551)". The record is from RNAcentral. Lineage: Eukaryota; Viridiplantae; Streptophyta; Magnoliopsida; Arecales; Arecaceae.